Long non-coding RNA from Syzygium oleosum, 405 nucleotides. RefSeq lists it as uncharacterized. Lineage: Eukaryota; Viridiplantae; Streptophyta; Magnoliopsida; Myrtales; Myrtaceae. The record is from RefSeq and is a predicted model, not a curated record. The transcript is spliced from 2 exons.
GAGUUUGUACGGUUUUAGCAUGCUCUAGAAUGCAGCUUCAAUUACAGCAGUCGAAUGAAAAUACCACCUCUAUCUUUUCCAGAUUUUCCAAAAGUUACCAUAGGAUAUUACUGUUUAUGUCCCUGGAUUCUUUGUUAUUUUGUGAAUGACUCCAACGUUAUGUCACGUAACAGGCUUAAGCAACUACUGAAAUUUGGCCAUUGAAGGAUUGGGGAUAUUGCCUAUCAGAAAGGAUCUCACCGGGUUGCAGUUGCUUGUGAUGAGGGAAUAGCCAUGGUUGAGAUAGUGUGCUGAUAGUGUGGAGCCUUAAGCCAAAUUCUAUGUCAAAUAAAACAGAUCCCGAUCUCUACAACUGUUACUUUCAAUUUGAAGUUCAAAUAAAAGUGCAUAUCGUUCUUUUGUCAA